ACGGCUCAGUAACACGUGGCUAACCUACCCUUGAGACGAAGACAACCCCGGGAAACUGGGGCUAAUCCCCGAUAGAUGAGAACUCCUGGAACGGGUUCUCGUCCAAAAGGCAUCAAGGCCAUGCUUCUUGGUGUCGCUCAAGGAUGGGGCCGCGACCGAUCAGGCUGUUGGUGAGGCAACGGCUCACCAAACCUAUAACCGGUACGGGCCGUGGGAGCGGGAGCCCGGAGAUGGGAACUGAGACAAGGUCCCAGGCCCUACGGGGCGCAGCAGUUGCGAAAACUCCGCAAUGCACGAAAGUGUGACGGGGCUACCCCGAGUGCCGUCCGCUGAGGAUGGCUUUUCCCUGGUGUAAGGAGCCGGGGGAAUAAGGAGAGGGCAAGUCUGGUGUCAGCCGCCGCGGUAAUACCAGCUCUCCGAGUGGUAGGGAUGAUUAUUGGGCUUAAAGCGUCCGUAGCCUGCCCUUCAAGUCUCUCGUUAAAUCCAGCGAUUCAAUCGGUGGACUGCGGGAGAUACUGUUAGGCUAGGAGGCGGGAGAAGCCGACGGUAUUUCCGGUGUAGGGGUAAAAUCCUAUAAUCCCGGGAGGACCACCAGUGGCGAAGGCGGUCGGCUAGAACGCGCUCAACGGUGAGGGACGAAAGCUGGGGGAGCAAACCGGAUUAGAUACCCGGAUAGUCCCAGCUGUAAACGAUGCGGGCUAGGUGUUGGAGUGGCCAAGAGCCACUUCAGUGCCGCAGGGAAGCCAUUAAGCCCGCCGCCUGGGGAGUACGGCCGCAAGGCUGAAACUUAAAGGAAUUGGCGGGGGAGCA
RNAcentral lists this ribosomal RNA (810 nucleotides) under uncultured crenarchaeote. RNAcentral's name for it is "bacterial SSU rRNA". It matches the Rfam family "Archaeal small subunit ribosomal RNA", at positions 85 to 878 of the family's 1478-position model. Lineage: Archaea; Thermoproteati; Thermoproteota. The record is from RNAcentral.